AAGCAUCUUCGGAUGUGUAUAAAGUGGCGAACGGCUGAGUAACACGUGGGCAACCUGCCCUUUGCACUGGGAUAGCCUCGGGAAACCGAGGUUAAUACCGGAUACUCCAUAUUUGUCGCAUGGCGAAUAUGGGAAAGCUCCGGCGGCAAAGGAUGGGCCCGCGGCCUGUUAGCUAGUUGGUGGGGUAGUGGCCUACCAAGGCAAUGAUGGGUAGCCGGGUUGAGAGACCGACCGGCCAGAUUGGGACUGAGACACGGCCCAGACUCCUACGGGAGGCAGCAGUGGGGAAUCUUGCACAAUGGGCGAAAGCCUGAUGCAGCGACGCCGCGUGCGGGAUGAAGGCCUUCGGGUUGUAAACCGCUUUCAGCAGGGACGAGGCCGCAAGGUGACGGUACC
RNAcentral lists this ribosomal RNA (396 nucleotides) under uncultured Atopobium sp. RNAcentral's name for it is "bacterial SSU rRNA". It matches the Rfam family "Bacterial small subunit ribosomal RNA", at positions 72 to 479 of the family's 1533-position model. The record is from RNAcentral. Lineage: Bacteria; Bacillati; Actinomycetota; Coriobacteriia; Coriobacteriales; Atopobiaceae.